Molecule: ribosomal RNA, 266 nt
Filed under: uncultured archaeon
Lineage: Archaea
Description: partial 16S ribosomal RNA
Rfam family: Archaeal small subunit ribosomal RNA
Source: RNAcentral
GCACCGGGAGAUGGGUACUCUGUGGGGACCGCCGCUGCUAAAUCGGAGGAGGUGCGGGCUACGGUAGGUCAGUAUGCCCCGAAUUUCCGGGCUACACGCGGGCUACAAUGGGUGGGACAAUGGGUCCCUCCACUGAAAAGGGAUGGUAAUCUCCCAAACCCAUCCUUAGUUCGGAUCGAGGGCUGUAACUCGCCCUCGUGAAGCUGGAAUCCGUAGUAAUCGCGUUUCAAUAUAGCGCGGUGAAUACGUCCCUGCUCCUUGCACAA